AGUACGAUCGCAAGAUUAAAACUCAAAGGAAUUGACGGGGCCCCGCACAAGCAGCGGAGCAUGCGGCUUAAUUCGACGCAACGCGAAGAACCUUACCAAGGCUUGACAUAUACAGGAAUAUGGCAGAGAUGUCAUAGCCGCAAGGUCUGUAUACAGGUGGUGCAUGGUUGUCGUCAGCUCGUGUCGUGAGAUGUUGGGUUAAGUCCCGCAACGAGCGCAACCCUCGUUCUGUGUUGCCAGCAUUUAGUUGGGGACUCACAGGAGACUGCCGGGGUUAACUCGGAGGAAGGUGGGGAUGACGUCAAAUCAUCAUGCCCCUUAUGUCUUGGGCUGCACGCAUGCUACAAUGGCUGGUACAAACGGCUGCGAUACCGCAAGGUGGAGCGAAUCCGAUAAAGCCAGUCUCAGUUCGGAUUGGGGUCUGCAACUCGACCCCAUGAAGUCGGAGUUGCUAGUAAUCGUAGAUCAGCAACGCUACGGUGAAUACGUUCCCGGGGCUUGUACACACCGCCCGUCACGUCACGAAAGUCGGUAACACCCGAAGUCAGUGGCCCAACCGCAAGGAGGGAGCUGCCGAAGGUGGGAUCGGUGAUUGGGACG
This 600-nucleotide ribosomal RNA is filed under the name uncultured bacterium. RNAcentral's name for it is "bacterial SSU rRNA". It matches the Rfam family "Bacterial small subunit ribosomal RNA", at positions 879 to 1482 of the family's 1533-position model. The record is from RNAcentral.